This 1464-nucleotide ribosomal RNA is filed under the name Cylindrospermopsis raciborskii KLL07. RNAcentral's name for it is "bacterial SSU rRNA". It matches the Rfam family "Bacterial small subunit ribosomal RNA". Lineage: Bacteria; Bacillati; Cyanobacteriota; Cyanophyceae; Nostocales; Aphanizomenonaceae. The record is from RNAcentral.
GAACGCUGGCGGUAUGCUUAACACAUGCAAGUCGAACGGGGAUGCUUAGGCAUCUAGUGGCGGACGGGUGAGUAACGCGUGAGAAUCUGGCUCCAGGUCGGGGAUAACAGUUGGAAACGACUGCUAAUACCGGAUGUGCCGAGAGGUGAAAGAUUUAUUGCCUGGAGAUGAGCUCGCGUCUGAUUAGCUAGUUGGUGGUGUAAGGGACCACCAAGGCGUCGAUCAGUAGCUGGUCUGAGAGGAUGAUCAGCCACACUGGGACUGAGACACGGCCCAGACUCCUACGGGAGGCAGCAGUGGGGAAUUUUCCGCAAUGGGCGAAAGCCUGACGGAGCAAUACCGCGUGAGGGAGGAAGGCUCUUGGGUCGUAAACCUCUUUUCUCAAGGAAGAAGAAAGUGACGGUACUUGAGGAAUAAGCAUCGGCUAACUCCGUGCCAGCAGCCGCGGUAAUACGGAGGAUGCAAGCGUUAUCCGGAAUGAUUGGGCGUAAAGGGUCUGCAGGUGGAACUGAAAGUCUGCUGUUAAAGAGUUUGGCUUAACCAAAUAAAAGCGGUGGAAACUACAGAACUAGAGUGCGGUAGGGGCAAAAGGAAUUCCUGGUGUAGCGGUGAAAUGCGUAGAUAUCAGGAAGGAACACCGGUGGCGAAAAGCGUUUUGCUAGACCGUAACUGACACUGAGNGGACGAAAGCUAGGGGAGCGAAUGGGAUUAGAUACCCCAGUAGUCCUAGCCGUAAACGAUGGAUACUAGGCGUGGCCUUGUAUCGACCCGAGCCGUGCCGGAGCUAACGCGUUAAGUAUCCCGCCUGGGGAGUACGGCACGCAAGUGUGAAACUCAAAGGAAUUGACGGGGGCCCGCACAAGCGGUGGAGUAUGUGGUUUAAUUCGAUGCAACGCGAAGAACCUUACCAAGACUUGACACCCUGCGAAUCCUGGUGAAAGCUGGGAGUGCCUUAGGGAGCGCAGAGACAGGUGGUGCAUGGCUGUCGUCAGCUCGUGUCGUGAGAUGUUGGGUUAAGUCCCGCAACGAGCGCAACCCUCGUUUUUAGUUGCCAGCAUUAAGUUGGGCACUCUAGAGAGACUGCCGGUGACAAACCGGAGGAAGGUGAGGAUGACGUCAAGUCAGCAUGCCCCUUACGUCUUGGGCUACACACGUACUACAAUGCUACGGACAGAGGGCAGCGAGCCAGGGAUGGCAAGCGAAUCCAGAAACCGUAGCUCAGUUCAGAUCGAAGGCUGCAACUCGCCUUCGUGAAGGAGGAAUCGCUAGUAAUUGCAGGUCAGCAUACUGCAGUGAAUUCGUUCCCGGGCCUUGUACACACCGCCCGUCACACCAUGGAAGUUGGUCACGCCCGAAGUCAUUACCCCAACCGAAAGGAGGGGGAUGCCUAAGGUAGGACUGGUGACUGGGGUGAAGUCGUAACAAGGUAGCCGUACCGGAAGGUGUGGCUGGAUCACCUCCUUU